RNAcentral lists this long non-coding RNA (19009 nucleotides) under Lathyrus oleraceus (garden pea). Its description in RNAcentral is "Pisum sativum (pea) long non-coding RNA (PSAT_LNC036625)". The record is from RNAcentral. Lineage: Eukaryota; Viridiplantae; Streptophyta; Magnoliopsida; Fabales; Fabaceae.
AAUGUUAAAUUAUCGCAAGUUCAGGACGGGUUUGAAAACAGAAGUUGAUGAACUUUUGAAGACCGAAAAGGAAGAGAAUCCAAUGCGCAUAGUUUAUAGUUUUGGCAUCUGUCAUGAACAUUCUGGCACAUUUGUAUUGACUUACAUAAGAAGUACAAAUCCACACCAUGAGUACAUUGGUCUUUACCCCAAAGGAUUCAGGUUCCGCAAAAAGAUGUUUGAGGAUAUUGACCGGCUUGUGGCAUAUUUUCAAAGGCACAUCGAUGAUCCACAAAAUGAUUCAGCACCUUCCAUUAGGUCAGUAGCUGCAAUGGUGCCAAUGCGAAGCCCUGCUACUGGUGGCUCAUCAGGAGCAUCUGUGGGUAGUGGCUGGGGUGGUUCAAACAGCGAGGGUGGUUGGAGAGGUCCCUCGUAUGAUAGGGACCGGUCUUCUACUCCUGGUUCCAGAACAGGUAUGAGAUUUUAAAUUCAGCUCUAGUUUGAGGUGAAUCUAAUUAUUUUGUUUGGAUUUCUUCUGCUAGUAUUGCGCCUGCUUUGACAUUAAAUAUAAUUAGUUAUCAUGAAUCCUCUUGUUAUCAACAUGUUGAUUGGUUCCUUCUUCUGUGCAUUUUGUUCUACAUCUACCUGUUCUCUUUGUCUGCAGUUCACAUAUCAUUCAACUAAUUGCUUCCGCAUGUCAUUUUUCUAGUUCUUUUUAUUCAAAAUUAACUGUUUCUUUAUUUUUACAGGACGACCUGAUUACAGAAAUAAUGGGAAUCGAGAUGAACACCCUAGUGGAUUGCCUCGUCCAUAUGGUGGUGGUCGAGGGCGUGGUCGCGGUUCUUAUAGUAAUAAUAGUAGAGGACACAACUCCAACCACGAAAGACGUGCCGGUGCAACCAGAUGGGGAUCUGCUGUGAAAGACGGGGAUGACAGUUUAAGCAACUUCCCAGGGGCUAAGGUUCAAAAUUCCCCUGGAAGAGAAGCAUUUCCAGGUGGUUGGGGAGGUGGAGCUAGUGGUGGUGACAAAAGUGGCUGGGGAGGUGGAGCUAAUGGUGGUGACAAAAGUGGCUGGGGAGGUGGAGCUAGUGGUGGUGACAAAAGUGGAUGGGGAGGUGGAGCUAGUGGUGGGGACAAAAGUGGCUGGGGUGCUGGUCCAAGCGAUGCUGAACAGGGAAACUCUGGUUGGGGAACUGGAUCCAAGAAAGCCGGAGACAAUGGAUGGUCUGGAAACUGACCGGGCGGAAUCCACAGAGCAUUCACAUUCAUCUGUAAUUUCUCUUUAAAUCCACUCAUUUGAAUGAUAAAAUGUGGAUUAUUAAUUUAUUAGAGUAAUUGUAGUUGAUCUUGACUAUGGAACUCUGCAUUUCGUUUUCACAUUAAAAUUUCGAUUAUAUGUUCAUCGAACGACAACUGUCGAAUAUGAUUUAUAGUUUACUAAUAAGAUAAGAGGCCUGGUUGCUCGAGCUGGUGCGGAGGGGAACCUCCCGCUGUACAGGCCAUGAUAAUUUUAUGGCAGAAUUUGAUCUACGUAGCCGACCCCAUUCAGUGAGAUAAAUCUUGAUUGUUGUUAUCUGAUGUGUGUAAUAUCAAAUUGAUAUGCUUAACUGACGUAUGACGUUUUCACAGUUGCAGCUUUUCUACCGAUGGAAGUACUAAAGCGCGGAGAACUUUAGCGAUCAUAAAGCCGGAUGGAUUGCUCGGUAACUACACAGAUGAUAUCAAGAGAACAAUUUCAGAAUAUGGUUUCAGCAUUGUCAAGGAACAGAUUGUUCAACUUGGCGAGGCGACUGUGAAAAGAUUUUAUGCAGAACACUCUUCAAAAAGCUUCUUUUCAAGCCUAGUUAAAUACAUGACAAGGUUCGUCCAUUUUAAGGCCAAACUCCGUUCCGCUGAGCAAUUUUUUUUCAUAUUGCUAAUGGAUUCGAUCAAUAAGCACACAUGUCUAGCUUCAUCACUAUGUCUGAUAAUGUUAUCGGUUCAUCCAUAUGAUUUCUGUUUAAUUGCAUGUUUAUAGUCUUUUAUCAUCUUUAAUCUUCUCUUUUGCUUCUCCAUAACUAUAAUCAGUGGACCAGUGUUAGUCAUGGUUUUGGAAAAGGAUAAUGUUGUUGCUGAUUGGCGCGCUUUAAUGGGUCCUACUGAUGCAAGCAAGGCCAAGAUUACUCACCCUCACAGGUUUCCAUAAACAUGUUUACUAAUCAAACUAAUUUUGCUUGUUUAAUCGAUUUCUCUAUGCUUAACUUGUUUAUUAAUUUGAACAGCAUUAGAGCAAAAUGUGGAUUGGACACUGAAAAAAAUUGUGUUCAUGGUUCAGACUCUACCAAAUCUGCACAAAGAGAGAUACUAUUUUUCUUCGACGAGCUCGCUCCAGGUGAGUAAUUUUACUCGAGAAUUCAUAAUAUAAAGAUACUUGCUUAUUUAAGUAUUCUUUUGAGAAAGAUUAUAUUCGAAUUAUCAUAAACCUUUGCCUCACCAAUUCUUAUGGCAGAUGCAAUUACAGAACACGAUGAAUUAAUGCGCAUAGUUUAUAGUUUUGGCAUCUGUCAUGAACAUCCUGGCACAUUUGUAUUGACUUACAUAAGAAGUACAAAUCCACACCAUGAGUACAUUGGUCUUUACCCCAAAGGAUUCAGGUUCCGCAAAAAGAUGUUUGAGGAUAUUGACCGGCUUGUGGCAUAUUUUCAAAGGCACAUCGAUGAUCCACAAAAUGAUUCAGCACCUUCCAUUAGGUCAGUAGCUGCAAUGGUGCCAAUGCGAAGCCCUGCUACUGGUGGCUCAUCAGGAGCAUCUGGUGCAGUAGCUGCUGGUGCAGUACCUUUAAUUUAAGAGUCCUAGGUCAGAAAAUAAUGCCUCGUUACGACUACAAAUCUUGACUCUCUAAGUAGCAACGGUACACGGAAAUUACACUUUGUUCUCGUGUUCUAAUUAUCUAAACUAAUUUUAUUGUUUUUCCUACUCCAUGACAUCAAACCAUUCUCAUAGCCUUAGAUAAACAUCGUGAGAAUAGAUAACGAUAUUUGAUACAGCUAUAUGUGGGAUUGAUAAAUCUUUUAUACUAUAACUGAUAUUAUCUUGGAUUUUUUUCCUAUUGUCCACAAGUUCAUGUAAUAUGAAGUGUAUCAAAAGACAUGGAAUCAAAUCAAAUUGAUGUAUGAAUUAUCGUUGUGUCAAUAACUAAUUUAUUGAAGAAAUAUUUAGUUUUGAUUGCAAGGUUGUCUCAAAUGACAUUGUAGUCUAUUUUGUGUUCAAAUUUAUGAUGUAUCAAACAAGAUUGUAUUAAAUGAUAUUGUGAAAAAUUAUGGUUUAUCAACAUCCAUGCUACUUGAUUAAACAAGAAGUGAAAACCCAACACUAAUAAGCAUAUCAUAAUCAACAUACACAUACAUAACAUCUCAAUUAAAUUUGAAUUAAUCGAAAACAAAAACAAAGUAAAAUAAAAAACACUUAAACCAUAACGCGUGAACCUUUCUAUCCAUCUAUCACCAUGACCCACAACAUACAUACAUCAAAUUAACACAAAGUGUAACAGAUUUCCGUCUAUACUCAUCUCAACCUUACACUCAAUUGAUUCACGAGGAAUGCUAAAUCAUUACAUGGAUUACCACAAAAAAACUCUCUUCCAAAAAAAUCACUCUAACUGAAUUCUUUCCCUCUCUCAAUUCACUUAUAAAUUUACAUCAAAUGUUUAGCAUCGGCCUUGACUUCAACACUAAUAGCAUCCAUUUUACGUCACUAAUGGAGGACGUAAACAUGUUUAGUCAUUUAUUUUUUUUAUCUUCACCUACUAGGAUAAAUUAUAUUACAAUAAAACACACUCAUAAUAUGGUCCUCUAAGCCAUCAUCAAAAGAAACAUCACACAAUCUAUUAUUAUGAAAUGCCAAGGAUUAUAAAAGAGCAUAAACUAACAUAAAUUUGAAUAAGUAUAUAUAGUCCAUAUCAUUUUCUCAUCUUCCUCAUUUUUAUGUAUUUGAUUAUUAAGCAAAAACGUAGACGUAGUGGACCUUUGAGAAUUGAGUCAAAAAGUAAGCGGAUUAAUACCUUCCUACUUUUCAUAACCAUAAAAUACCUCACAUAGUAUUUUAGGAUUAUUUUAUCUAUUUUUUAUUAUAUUAUAUUUGGUAUUUUGUGGUUGUGUUAGGUAUUUAACUGUAGUAGAGAUUUUAUGCGAAGCGAAAACGGAACAAAACAGCAAAAAUCGGAAGAAAAUGCCAAGACUGUGUCAUGGAUUUUCAGAACACCACAAAUUCACCCACUACAGCAAUACCUUGAAGGCUUUCUCCCACUUUUCUUCCAUUAUUCAUACUGAUUUUGUGGUGUUAAGUAAUCGAAAUUCCUCCUAUAAAUUAAUCAGUGGUUUAAGCUUUGGUGUUUAUCUUGAAGCAAGUUUUAUAUUGGCACAUUUAAUUUCCACGAGUUUUAUUUUUCUGUAUUGUAUUUAAAACUCCAAUUUUUAGCAAAUUACCAGUUUAUUUUUGAGGUUUUUUUAAUUUGAUUUCUGUUUCAAUUAUUAUUAAUUCAUUUUAUUGUUUGAAGCUUUACAUGUCAUUUUACUAAUUACCUUUAAUCUUAUUUAGUUGUUAUUUUAAUAUGCCAAAUUUAUAUGGAUUAUUCUUCUUAUCUUACCAUUUAAUUAUCAAAUUAUAUUUCAGUGCUAUACUACUUUCAUAAACAUAUAUAUUUGUUUACUGUUAUGUUAUUUCUAUUUAUGCUUGUUCACGUGUUCAAUAUGCUAGCUUAAAUUACGAGAGUCUGGAUGUGAGAACGUCAUACCGACGAUCUCACAUGAAUCACACUAUAACUGAUGUGUAACGGAGAAUUGUUUUUGGUCUUGAAAAUUGGUUUUCAUAACACGUUUGUGCAAUGCGAUGCAGUGCCAAAACGGAAGUCAUGUAUAGCACCUUUUCAGUAAGGGCAGGUCUGGUGGAGGUUGCAAAGCAGGUUUGGGUCUUAGUUCUGAGCAAUUCGUAUUAUGUCUAUCUGAUAGUUAAGCUGGUACGUAUGUUUGUCUAACCAAACCUUUUAUAUAUAAUCACACAAGACUUGCAUAUCAUUAGAAAAACAAACAUAAUGACAAAAAAAUAACAAAUAAAACAAAAAAAUUGGUUUUUUAUUAUCCAUUGUUAGGGUUUCGAAUUUUGAAAUUCGGAUAAAAUUUCAUUUGUUUGUUAUAAACCAUCAUGAUUUUUAUUUAUUUUUUAAUAUUAUAAUUAUAUAAUUUUUAUUAUUCUUUUUAAAUAAAUCUUAUUAUAUUAUUAAUUAUUUUAAAAAAUUAAAAAGUCAAAUUAAAUAUAUUUAACAUAAAACGUGAGGGAUAUUGAGAAAAAAAUUCUGAAAAAUUCAGUUAUUUGUUUAGUAUAGGUUUGGGAUGAAUAAUUAAAAAGAAUAUAUAAAAAAAAAUACAAUAAAUUACACGGUAAAAAAAGAAAAUUUUAUAGUAUCCCAACAAAGGAAAAUGGUCAAUAAUUUGGGUAAUUGACAAAAUGCACUACCAUUGAGACAACGAGGUGCCAAUCUAUAGUAUUGAUCUCUUUUAUUUCAAAACUUCUCAUUCAUAUUAUAUUUCCUUAGAAAUAGUUGUAUCUAGAUUUUUUCUUCAUACAGCACAAACUUUAACGUAACAAUUGGUACCAUAUAAUUAUUUUUAAUUAUGAUGUUUUUGUAAAUAUAGUUUAUGUGUACAGAUGCUCGGGAAAAAUGGGGUAAAUCACGUUAUGCAAUUUUUUCUAAUUCUUUUACUUCUAAAACCAGUGUUACUUGCAUCUUUUUGAUGCAUCCAUUCAGAUAAUUAAAUUGCCAUUUGUUUGUUAAUAACCCAUCAAUUGUGGAUAUGGUUUUUUAUUUUCUACACUAGACAGAUCCUAUAAUUCUUAUUUUAUAUAUAUAGAGAGAGAGGUGGGGGAGGAAGGAGGGAGACUUCCCACUCCUAACAUUUUCCUUUGUCUUUAUAUGAUUAUAUUAAAUUUAAACAGUAUACUACACAUCUUUAAAUAAAAUGUAAUGUAUGCAUAGUCCAUAUCACCAUGUUAUGUCUAAAUUUGCAUCAACCAUGAGAAGCCUAGAAACCCCGGGACUCGGAAAAACUAAAGGCAUGUUUGAAACACUUUUCAAUUUUAGUUCUUAAAAAUUUUUUUUUCAAAAUUAUUUUUAAAAAUUAAAAAAGAAAAUUAACAAAAAAUUUGUUUGAUAAACUAAUUUUUAAACACUGUUUUUGAAAAAUAUGAAAAUGAAAAAACUGUGUUUGAUAAUCUAUCUUUUAAUGUAUGUAAGAAGAGAGAAUAAAAUGUUAGUAUUAUGGUCAUUUACUUUUAAAUCUAUUUUAUUGUAUAAAGUAUUACAAACUAAAAAAUUAAUUGAUAUUUGGUCGAAUAACAAAUAAUUUGGGUUAAAUCAAUAUUUUAAUGUUUUAUGAAAUGAAAAACUUGUUGAUGUAACUAUCUUUUAAGUAUUUUAAGAAGAGAAUAAAAAUGUAUAUUAUUUGUUAUUUACUUUUAAAAUCUAUUUUAUUGUAUAAAAUAUUACAAACUUUAAAAAAAUUAAUCUGAUAUUUGGUCGAAAAUUACAAAUAAGGGUCUAAAUCUAAUUUUAAUUUACAAAUCACAUAAACCUUGUUUGUAAUAAGAUACAGAAAAAGAACAAAUAAAAAAUGGGAUUCCACGGUUUAUAAUAGAGAGAAAAAAUUUAUAAGUGAAAAUAAUUAAGAAACACAAAAAAAUUAAGUAAAAUAAAUAACAUAUUUUUGAAAGGUUAAUUAUACAUAAAAGCGCAUAAAUAAAAGAAAUAACAUACUCUUUAAAAUACAGUUUUUUUAUUUUAUUUUAAAAAUAUAAAAAUUAUUUAAAAUUACAUUAAUGCUAUUAUGAAAAUUAUAAAUUUUAUGUUUUUUUUUCAAUUUUUAAACUAAAAACUAAAAAGUACACAAAUUAAACAGUUAUCACUUUUUGCUUUUAAAAACUGAAAAAUAAAAAGAGUUUUUAAUAACACUUUUAUGAAACAUAUAUAUUCAACAAAUUUUUAAAGGUUAAAUUUUCAAAAACUAAAAAAGAGUUUUAAGAUACAUUUUCAAACAUACCAUCUCUGCGAUGCUUGGAGACUCUUUUUUUUAUAAAUUUAUUUAUUUUUUAAUAUAAUAAAUUUAUAAAUAAUUUAUUUUCUUUUCAAAUAAAAUCUUAUUUAUCUUAUAUCAUUAAUUUUAAUAAAUUAAGAAGAUCAAUAAAUUAUUUAUGCAUAAUUAAAUUUAAUAAUAGUCAAACAUAAAAAUAUAUCAUUUAUUAGAAUUACACUAAUUAUAAAAAGGUGUCUUAUAACUUGAAUGAGUCUAAAAUACUUAAAUGGGAGCAGUUGAAUCAUCACAAAUUUUAAACAGUGGCAGUGGCAUUAUUGGUUAAGUUUACAGUGGCAGGUUAUGUAGUUAACAGAUUCAGUUAAGUUAAGUUGUGUUUUAUCCAUUGACAGUUAAGUUUCUUACGGUAAUAGCGGGUUAGUUGAGCUUCAUACAUAACACAGUGUAACAUUCCACUGGGAAAAUUCUUCUCUCCUCUGUCAGUAAUCUCUCAGUCAAUUGUCACGCAGUUAGGCAGCAGUAAGCGCAUAUGAAAAAAAGGGAGAGUAGCGGUGAAGCCGGUGAAGUAAUCAGAGAAGUUCAAGCUAGUAGCAGCAGUAACGCCGCAUGAAAAAAGGAGAGUAAGCCGGUGAAGCCGACGUGAAGUAAUCAGAGAAGUCAGCUAGUAGCAGCAGUAAGCGCAAUGAAUAAAGGGGAGAGUAAGCCGGUGAAGCCGGUAGAAGUCAGAGAAGUCAAUGCAGUUACGCAGUAAGGCGCAAUGAAAGAGAGGGGAAGAGUAAAGCCGGUAAAGCCGUGACGUAUGUAGAGAAGUCAAGCAGCUAGCACAGUAAGCGCAAUGAAAAAAAGGGGAAGAGUAAAGCCGGUGAAGCCGGUGAAAGUAUUAGAGAAAGUCAAGCAGAGCUAGCAGUAAGCGCAAUGAAAAAAAGGGGAAGAGUAAGCCGGUGAAGCCGGUGAAGUAUAGGAAGUCAAGCAGUAGCAGCAGUAAGCGCAUUGAAAAAAGGGAAGAGUAAAGCCGGUGAAGCCGGUGAAGCCGUGGUGAAGUAUCAGAGAAGUCAAGCAGUAGAGUGUAGCGCAAUGAAAAAAGAGGGAGAGUAAAGCGUGAAGCCGUGAAGAUCAGAGAAGUCAGCAGAGCUUAGCAGUAAGCGCAAUGAAAAAAGGGGAAGAGUAAGUCGUGAAGCGUGAAGACAGAGAGUCAAGCAGUGCAGAGUAGCAUGAAAAGGAAAAGGGAAGCGUGAAGAUCGAGAGGCAAGGAGUCGCAUAAGCCAUGAAAAGGGGAGAAGUAAAGUUGGCGGCCGUGACCAUAGAAGUAGCAGUAGCAGCAAUAAGCUAUGAAAGGAAGAGUAAAACCGGUGAAGCCGAAGUGAGUCAAAGUAAGCGUGAGCGCGAAGAAGAGUAACGGUCGAGAAGCAAGAGUAGCAGAGCAUGAAAGGAGGUACCGGUAAGCCGAAGUAUCAAGAAGUCAAGCAGUGCGCUGUGGAAGAAAAAGGGAAUGGGGAGUAUAAAGCAAGCUUAGGAUAGCGAUGCAGGGAGAAAGCCGGGAUAGGCGUCGAGUACGAGUAACCAAUGAAAAAGGAAGAGUGGCCAAGUUCAGAAGUCAGCAGAGCAGUAGCGCAAUGAAAAAAAGGGGGAAGAGUAAAGCCGGUGAAGCCGGGAGUUCAGGAAGGUAACAGUAGCUAGGCAAAAAAGGAAAGAAACGGUGAGCGUGAGUACGGAGUCAAGCAGUAGCAGCAGUAAGCGCAAAAAAGGAGAGCGGUAAAGCCGUGAGUAUCAAGAAGUCGAGAGCAGCGUAACGCAUAAGGGGUAAGCGUGAAGCCGGUGAAGUAUCGAGAUACGCAGUCUAAGCAAGGGGGAUAAGGUGGCCGGAAGUACAGAAAAGUUCAAGCAUAGCACAUCUAAAGGAAUAACCAAGAGUGAGAGCAGAGGUUUCAGAGUAGAGCGACGAAUGUAAGGGGUAAGCCGUAGGGAGUAUCAAGUCCACAGUAGCGAAUAAGCGCAGAAAAGGAAGUCGAAGCGUAUCAAAGAAGUAGCAGACAGCAGUAACGCAAAGGAACCGUGAGCCGUAGAAGAAAGUCAGAGUAGAGCCGUAGGCAUAAAAAAGGGAGUAAGCGGGAAGCGGAAGUCGAGAAGUCCGCAGUAGUAGCCAAGAAGGGAGAAAACCGGGACGUGAAGUAUCGGAGUCGCAAGUCGCGCGAAGCAAAAAGGGAUAAAGCGUAGCUAAGUUCGGAGUCAAGCAGCAGAAGAUGAAAAAAAGGGGAAGAGUAAAGCCCGGUGCCGGUGAAGAAUCAAGAAUCAGCUAGACAGUAGGCAAGCAAAAGGAGAUUAAGCGUGAAGACGAAAGCAGUAAGAGCGCAGAAAGAGUAAAGCGUGAACCGUGAAGAAGAGAAGUCAAGCAAGUAGCACAAACGCAAUGAAGGGAUAAGCGGGCCCGGUGGACAAGAAUACAGUACAAUGCAUACAAGGGAGAGUUACGUAAGCCGUGAAGUAUCAAAAGCACAGAAGCAGUAAGCGCAUAAAAGAAGAGAAACCUGAAGCAGAAGUCAAAGCAGAGCAGCAGUAAGCCGUAAGGAAGAAGCGGUGACCGCUGAAGUAUCAGAGUCACAGUAGAGAGUAACGGCAUGAAAACGAAGAAGUCGUUGAGCCGGGAAGUAUCAAAGCACAGUAGCAGCAGUAAGCGCAAUGAAAAAAAGGGACGAGAAAGCGUGAGGCUGAAGUUCGAAAUCAAGGUAGAGCAAAGGCAAUAAAAUGAUAAGCGGUGAAGUUGGAGUCGUUAGCACCAAAGUUAAACGAUGAAAGGGAAACCGGUAAGCGAAGUAAUGAGAAGUAGCGAGCAGCGUAAGCGCAAUAAAGGAAGAUAAAGCGGUAAGGGAAGAUGAGAAGUCAGCAGUAGGUAUAAAAAAAGCCGGUGAAGGCCGGAGUUCAGGAAGUAAGAGUAGAGAUAACGCGAAGGAAGAGUAAGCCGAAGCCGAAGUUCGAGCAGCAGUACAGUAAGCGCAAUGAAGGAAAUAAACAGACCGGUGAAGAUCAGGAGUAGCAUAGACAGAACCAAUAAGAAGAAACGGAGUAUAAAGAAGCAUGCAGUGUAACCGAUAAAAAGGGGAAAGAUCCGACCGGUGAAAUCAGAAGUAAGCGUAGGCGAAGCAAAAGGAAGUAAGUCGGUGAUUUAGAGAGUUCAAUGCAAUAACAAUGAAAAAGAGGAAGAGUAAAGCCGUGAAGUCAAAAAGUCAAGCACGGUGGCAUGAAAGGGAAGAAGUAUAACGGAAGCCGGAACGUCAGAGAAUCAAGCAGUAGCAGCGUUAGGCUGAUAAAAGGGAGUAAAUGUGAAGGGACAGGCAAAUGAGCAGAAGCGAAUGAAAAGGGAAGAAGUAACCGUUGAAGCGUGGUGAAGUUAUAGAGAGUCAAGCAUAGCAGUCAGUAGGCAAUGAUAAAAAGGGGAAGAGUAAGGCCGGUGGAAGCCGCUGAAGUAUCAGAGAAGUCAAGCUAGUCUAGCAGCAGUAAGCGCAAUUGAAAAAGGGAGAGUAAAGCCUGAGCGUUGAAGUAUCAGAGAAGUCAAGCCAGUAGCAGCAGUAGCGCAAUGAAAAAAAGGGGAAGAGUAAAGCCGGUGAAGCGGUGAGUAUCCAGAGAAGUCAAGCAGUAGCAGCGUAAGCGAAUGAAAGAAGGGAAGAAGUAAAGCGGUGAAAGCCGGUGCAGUAUCAGAGAAAUCAAGCAGUAGCAUGCAGUAAGCGCAUCUAUGAAAAAAAGGGGAAGAGUAAAGCCGGUGAACGCCGGUGAAAGUAUCAGAGAAGUCAAGCAGUAGCAGCAGUAAAGCGCAAUGAAAAAAAGGGAAGAGUAAACCCGGUGAGCGGUGAAGUAUCACGAGAAGUCAAGCAUAGGCAGCAGUAAGCGCAAUUGGAUAAAAAGGGGAGAGUCAAGCCGGUUAGGGCCGGGUAAGUAUCAGAGAGUCAAGGCAGUAGCAGCAGUAAGCGCAAUGAAAAAAGGGGAAGAGUAGCGGUGAGCCGGUGAAGUUAUAGAGAAGCAAGCGAUAGCAGCAAGUAAAGCCGCAAUGAAAAAAAGGGAAGAGUAAAGCCGGUAGCGGUUGAGAGUUAUCAGAGAAGUUCAAGCAGUAGCAAAGCAGUAAGGCGCAUUGAAAAAAGGGGAAGAAGUAAAGCGCGUGAAGCGUAUCAGAGAAAUCAAGCAGAGUAGCAAGCGUAAGCGCCAACUGAAACAAGGGAAGAGUAAAGCCGGUUUGAGCCUGUAAAGUAUCAGAGAAGUCAAGCAGUAGCACAGUAAGCGCAAUGAAAAAAGGGGAAGUAGAAGAGGUAAAGCCGGGAAGUAUCAGAGGAAUCAAAGCAGUAGCAGCAGUAAGCGCAAUGAUAAAAGGGAGAGUAAAGCCGGUGAAGCGUGAAGUAUCAGAGAAUCAGCAGUAGCAGCAGUAAGCGCAAUAUGAAAAGGGGAGAGUAACUUGAAAGCCGGUGAGUAUCAGAGAAGUCAAAGCAGUAGCAGCAGUAAGCGCAAUGAAAAAGGGGGAAGAGUAAAGCCGGUGAGCCGUGAAGUAUCAGAGAAGAUCAGAGCAGUAGCAGCAAGUGAAGCGCAUGAAAAAAAGGGAAGAGUAAAGCCGUGAGGUGAAGUAUCAGAGAACGUCAAGAGUAGCAGCAGUAAGCGCAAUGAAAAAAAAGGGAAGAAGUAAAGCCGGUGAAGCCGCUUGAGUAUCGAGAAAGUCAAGCAGUAGCAGCCGUAAGCCGCAAUGAAAAAAAGGGGAAGAGUAGCGAAGCCCGGUGAAAGAUUCAGAGAAGUCAAGCAGUAGCACGCAGUCAAGCGCAAUGAAAAAAAGGAAGAGUAGCCGGUGGAAGCCGGUGAAGUAUCAGAGAAGUCAAGCGUAGCAGCCGUAGCGCAAUGAAAAAAAGGGGAAGAGUAAAGCCGUGAAGCCGGUGAAGUAUCAGAGAAGUCAAGCAGUAGCAGCAGUAACGCAAUGAAAAAAGGGAGAGUAAAGCCGAUGAAGCCAGUGGUAUCAGAGAAGUCAGCAGUAGCAGCAGUAAGCGCAAUGAAAAAAGGGGAAGAGUAAGUCGGUGAACCGUUAGUAUCAGAGAAGUCAAGCACAGUAGCAGCAGUAAGCGCAAUAAAAAGGGGAGAGUAAAGCCGAUGAAGCGUGAAUAUCAGAGAAGUCCAAGCUAGUAGCAGCGUUAAGCGCAAUGAAAAAAAAGGGGAGAGUUAAAGUUCGGUGAAGUUAGAGAAGUCAAGCAGUAGCAGCAGGAAGCGCAAUGAAAAAAAGGGAGAAGUAAAGCCGGUGAAGUAAGUAUCAAGAGAAGUAAGCAGUAGCAGCAGUAAGCGCAAUGAAAAAAAAGGGGAAGAGUUAAAGCCGGUGAAGCCGGUAAGUAAUCAGAGAAUUCAGCAGGUAGCAGCAGUAAGCGCAAUUGAAAAAAAGGGGAAGAGUAAAGCCGGUGAAGCGUGAAGUAUCAGAGAGAAGUCAAGCAAGUAGAGCAGUAAGCGCAAUGAAAAAAAGGAAGAGUUUUAAAUCCUUGAAGCCCGGUGAAGUUAUUAGAGAAUCACGCCAGUCGAGCAGCAGUAGCGCAAUGAAAAAAAGGAAGGUAAGCCGGUGAAGCCGCUGAAGUAUAGAGAAGUCAAGCAAAGUAGCAGCAGUAAGGCAAUGGAAAAAAAGGAAAGCAGCAAGAGUAAGCCGAGUGACGUAUCAGAGAAGUCAGCAAGUAGCAGCGUAAGCGCAAUGAAAAAGGGGAGAGUAAGCCUGAAGCCGGUGAGUACAGAGAAGUCAAAAGCUAAGUAUUUAGCAAGCGUAAGCCAAUGAAAAAAAGGAAGAGUUUUAAGCCGGUGAAAGCCGCGUGAAGUUCGAGAAAUCAAGCAAGUAAAUAGUAGCGCAGUCAAGCGCAAUGAAAGAAAGGAAAGUAAAGCCGGUUGAAAGCGGUAAAGUUCAGAAAGUAAGGCAGUUGCAGCAGUAAGCGCAAUGGAAAAAAAAGGGAGAGUAAACCCGGUGAGCCAGUGAAAGUAUCAGAGAAAGAAGUCAAGCAGUAGGCAGCAGUAAGCGCAAUGAUAAAAAGGGGAGAGUAAAGCCGGUGAAGCCGGUGAAAGUAGCAGAGAAGUCAAGCAGUAGCAGCAGAUAACGCAAUGAAAAAAAGGAAGAGUAAAGCCGUGGAAGCCGGUGAAGUAUCAGAGAGUCAAGCACUAGCCAGCAGUAAGCGCAAUGAAAAAGGGAAGAGUAAAGCGGUCUAGGCGGUGAGUAUCAGAGAAGUCAAGCAGUAGCCAGCGAUAAGCGCAAUGAAAAAGGGGAAAGAGUAUAGCGGUGAAUAUCCGAGAAGUCAAGCACGGGUAGCAGCAGUAGCGCAAUGAAAAAAAGGGGAAGAGUAAAGCCGGUGAAGCCGCGUGAGUAUCAGAGAAGGUCAAGCAGUAGCAACUUAGCCAAUGUGGAAAAAAAGGAAGAGUAAAGGCGCGGUGAAGCCGGUGAAGUAUCAGAGAAUCAAGCGUAGCAGCAGUAAGCGCAAUUUGAAAAAGGGGAAGAGUAAAGCGGUGAAGCGGUGAAGUAUCAGAGAAGUCAAGCUAGCAGCAGUGCGCCAAUGAAAAAGGGAAGAGUAAAGCCAGGUGAUGUUAUCAGGAAGUCAAGCAAGUAGCGCAGUAAGGGGCGCCAUAUGAUAAAAGGGGAAGAGUAAAGCCGGUGAAGCCGGUGGAAACGUAUCAGGAGAAAUAGUAGAGCAGUAGCAGCAGUAAGCGCAAUGAAAAAAGGGGAAGAGUAAAGCCGUUGAAGCGCGGUGAAGUAAUCAGAGAGUCAAGCAGUAGCAGCAGUAUAGCGCAAUGAAAAAAAGGGGAAGAGUAAAGCCGGUGAAGCCGCUGAGUACAGAGAAGUCAACAGUAGCAGCAGUAAGCGCAAUGAAAAAAAGUGGAAGAGUAAAGCCGGGUUGAGAUCGAGACGUCAGCAGUAGCCAGCAGUAAGCGCAAUGAAAAAAAGGGGAAGAGUAAAGCCUGUGAAAGCCGGUGAAGUAUCAGAGGAAUCAAGCAGUUAGCAGCGGUAAGCGCGCAAUGAAAAAGAGGAAGAAUAAAGCCGGUGAGCCGGUGACAGUAUCAGAGAAGUCAAGCAGUAGCAGCAGUAGCGCAAUGAAAAAAGGGGAAGAGUAACAGCCGGUGAAGCCAGUGAAGUAUCAGAGAGUCAAGCAGUAGCAAGCAGUAAGCGCAAUGAAAAAAAAAGGGGAAGAGAAAAGCCGGUUGAGCCGGUGAGUAUCAGAGGAAAGUCAGCAGUGGCAGCAGUAAGCGCCAUGAAAAAAGGGGAAGGUAAAAGCCGAUGAAGCCGGUGAAGUAUCAGAGAAGUCAAGCCAGUAGCAGCAGUUAGCGAGGAAGAAAGGGGAAAGAGUAGUCGGCGUGAAGUUAUUAGAGAGUCAAGCGAGUAGCAGCAGUAAGCGCAAUUGAAAAAAAGGGAAGAUAAGCCGGUGGAGCCGGGUGGAAGUAUCAGAGAAGAUCACAGCUAGUCGUAGCAGCAGUAAGCGCAAUGAAAAAAAGGGGAAGAGUAAAGUCGGUGAAGUAGAGGAGUCAGCAGUUCUAGCAGCAGUAAGCGCAAUGAAAAAAAGAGGAAGAGAAGUGUGAAUAUCAAAGAAGUCAGCAGUAGCAGCAGUAAGCAGCAUGCAAAAAAGGAGAGUAAGGGUGAAGCCGGUGAAGUAUCAGAGAAUCAAGCCAGGAGCAGCAGUAAAGCGCAGAUGGAAAAAAAAGGGGAGAGUAAAAGCCGGUCUGAAGCGGUUGAAGUAUCGAGACAAUCAGCUAGCAGCCAGUAAGCGCAAUGAAAAAAGGGGAAGAGUAAAGCCGUAGAAGCGGUGAAGUAUUAGAGAGUCAACAGUAAAAUUGCUGCAGUAAGCGCAAUGAAAAAAAGGGGAGGAGUAAAGCGGUGAAGCGCUGAAGUAUCAGAGAAGGUCAGCAAGUCAGCAGCAGUAAGCGUAAUGAAAAAGGGAGAAAGUAAAGGCCGGUGGAAGUAUCGAAGAAGUUAAGCAAGUAUAGCAGCAGUAAGCGCAAUGAAAAAAAGGGAGAGUAAAGCCGGCUGAAGCCGGUGAAGUAUCAGAGAAGUCAAGCAGUAGCAGCAGUAAGCGCAAUUGAAAAAGGGGAAGAGUAAAGCGUGAAGCGGUGAAGUAUCAGAGAAAUCAAGCCAAGUUGCAAAGAAAAAAAAAAAAAAAAAAAGCAGUUAAGCGCAAUGAAAAAAAGGGGAGAGUAAGCCGGUGAGCGCGGUGAGUAUCAGAGAAGUUCAAGCAGUAGCAGCCAGUUAAGCGGCAAUGAAAAAAAGUGAGAGUUAACCGGGUGAAGCCAGUGGAUCAGAAGAAGUCAAGCAGUGGCAGCAGUAGAGCGGCAUGAUAAAAAGGGGAAGAAGUAAAGCCGGUGAAGCCGGUGAAGUAUCAGAGAGUUUUCAAGCAGUAGCAGCAGUAAGCGCGAUUGAAAAAAAGCGGGAGAGUAAAGCCGGUGAAGUCGGUGAGUAAUCAGAGAAGUCAAGCCGUUAGCAGCAGUAAGCGCAAUGAAAAAACAAGGGAGGAGUAAGGCGGUGAAAGCGGGAAGUAAUCAGAGAAUUCAAGCAGUUAGCACAGUAAGCGCAAUCCGAAAAAGGGGAGAGUAAAGCCGGUGAGCCGGUGAAGUAUCAGAGAAGUCAGCUAAGUAGCAGCAGUAAGCGCAAUGAAAAAAGGGUAAAGAGUAAAGCCCGGUUGAGCCGGUGAAGUAUCAGAGAAAGAGAAAAUAUAUCCUCCAGAAGAAACUAUAAUCCGCCAAGAGUUACAGCGCCAAAAGAGUGCUAAAAGAGUUACAAGACUGUCAACCAAAAAAAACGUCUGGAAUGAAAAAGAGUGAGGUUUGUAAAAGAUGCAAUCAAAGCUUUCAUAUGGAAUAGGCACUAGUAAGGGCAUAGAAAUGGUUGUAAAUGAAGAGAGAAAGAUGAAAACAAAGCGGAAAGGUGUAAUGCUAGAGAAACAGGUCCAAUCCAGCAAGAAGAAGACAGAAUGAACAAAGGGCAAGGGUAAAUGCUACAGAAACAGGUGUCAAAUCCGCAAAGAGAACACAGAUGAAAACAAGGGAAGGGCAAGCUGAAAUGUGAUACUCAAAUUAACCUGCAUGUUCGCAUGUCAGCUUUUAUUUCAUUGUUUUCAUUUUGUAUGGAGAUAUGAUGUUUCAUUUCUUUUUUCAUAUUUUGGAUAUUACAAAUUCAUUGGAACGUUUUCUUUCUUCCAUUUUUACAUUCUUUUAUACUCUUUCUGUUAUAUUAAACAUUGUAAUGCUACCAAUUUGAUAUUACAUAAUUGUUCUUAAUAUGUAUAUUCGCCAAAUCAUGAGAAUCUCUUUUCUCAACUUUUCCAUUUCAUUAUGCGUCUUGACUUUGAAAUUAUCUUUCUUCAAUGUAUUUAUGGAGAUCACAAGAUGCAAACAAAUGUAAUUGAUUACAAAGAGACUAGGCUGAAGAUUAAUUUGAGCCUAUUGCUUCCUUCUGAGAAAUAUUAUGGACAGAGACGCAUGACCGAUAUAUUUCACAUGGAAUGCCUUAUAGCACAAGAGUUCUGAUGUUGAAGUAAAUUCAUACGGACGGAUUACUCAAUUGAAUCACAAUAUUAACUAUGUGUACGAGAAUUGUGUUUUGGGUCUGAAAAUUUUAUUUGUAACACGUUUCUUGUGCAAUGCGAAUGCAGUUGCCAAAACGGAAGUCAAUGUAUAGCACUUUCAGUAGGCAGGUCUGUGGGAGCGUCUGCAACAGGUUUGGGUCUAGGUUCUGAGCAAAUCGCAUUAUGUCUAUCUGUAGUUAGCUUGGAUGAUAUGUUUGAAUUUAGAACUGCUCUUUGUUUUUGACAUAACAUAAUGAUUAAAAGGUUUUGUAUUUGUCUGCCUCUUCUACAAACAUGGCUUCAUAGUCUCAUCAGAAACCCACCAGAAAGAGGCUNAGGAACCACAUGAAGAAGUUGAAUAAUUUUCCAAGCAUUACCCCCUACACUAAAUAUUUCGACUUUGUUGGGACUCAAAGAUAGAAUCUUAUAAGUAUCGGUUGAAUUAUCAUAACCAAAUGAAAAGCGGGAAGACCUGCGAUAGUCAUAUGCAUUUUGGUGAGGAUUGGAGUGAUGUCCAAAGUAGACAGAAAAUGUGUGGGCGGCUGGGUUCCAUAAUUGAAACCAGGUGUAUUGAAGAUCUGUUGAAGAAAUAACACUGAAACAUAUCAAUCCAUUGCAGGAACCAAUGAAUUCGUAGCAAUUGUCGACGCUGGCUGAGAUGUAUUGUUUGGUGUACUUUAUCAUGGAAGGAUUGUUUAGUAAAGUAUUGAGGGGAUAGGGUUGGAUAACAGAUUCCUGAGACACGCCUAAGAUUUGUGUGAGAUUCUUUUUUUUUUUUGAACGUUGAAGAUGCAGUUUGAUAAAUUUUGGAUCGGAGAUGAUGGCGUUCCAUGCUUUGGUCACGCAUCUCAGUUGCGUCAAAGAUCUAACCGGAAGGUAUGACAGAACUUGUAAGAUGAGUUCUUCGGGAAGGAAUAAUAGAUUGCCGUUGGAUUUCAUCACAACUUGCGCACUCUUAAAACUGAAAUAGAAAUAGAAAGCUGAACCCUAAUAAACGUAAACAAGCUGUUACUCAUUUAAAUAGGGUUUCUUAAAAUGUUUUUUUUAUAUGUUUGUAUCCUUUAAUUUUUAUGUGAGCCCAACCAACAUGCAAAUUCGCCUUUUUGUUUUCUAUAUUUUUUUAAACCAUUCUAAGGAAUACACUAGUGGUAUUAUUUUAAGAUUUUAAAUAAUAUUAUAUAUUUUAAUUUNUUUUUUUUAUAUGUUUGUAUCCUUUAAUUUUUAUGUGAGCCCAACCAACAUGCAAAUUCGCCUUUUUGUUUUCUAUAUUUUUUUAAACCAUUCUAAGGAAUACACUAGUGGUAUUAUUUUAAGAUUUUAAAUAAUAUUAUAUAUUUUAAUUUUUAAUAUCUAUAAAAUUUUACAUAAAUUUUUAUUAUAGAAAGCGAUACAGAACCAUAUAUAAAUAAAAAUAAAAGCUUACAAAAUAUAGAAAAAGUAAUCGAGCGUGUAUAUAGACCAAUAUAUUUAGCAAAAGUCCAAGUCAAAACAUCAAUAAAAAAUUGCCUAACCACAAAAAAAAAAGGAAAAACUAUUACAAAUAUAUUCAAAUAAUAAUGACAAAUAAAUUCAAAUUACCUCAUUUUUUAUAUUACGUUCAUUCCUUACAAACUUUCAUAUUCUAAAUCAUAUUUAAUGAUGUUUUUAUGUCAACACUAUCAAAUAUAUUAUUGAGUUUUGAUGUCUACCAUAAUUUAUAUCUAAAUAUUUUGUGAUUCAAAAUUGAAAUUUAUUAAAAUAAAAUUAAAAACAAAUACUCUAUUUACUCGUAAAUUACUUUUUCUGUUCAUCAUGUCUCCCUUUUUCUAGAAAAAACAAAUACUCUAUUUACUCGUAAAUUACUUUUCCCUUUUUCUAGAAGCUAAAUAAUCCCCGAAGCAAAUUACUCAAACCCUAGCCGCAUAACAUUUAAAAAAAAAAUCUCAACAUCAACCACAAUCAACUAUAAUUAGUCUGAAAUCCUAAAGCCUAGGAGAAAAAUAGGGGCUUCGGUGGUGAGAAGAUUGAUAUGAAAGGAAUAAGUCUCACCGGAGCUUCGCAACUCCGGCGAGAUCCCGACGGUCGAAGAAAUACCUCAGGUAAAGGAUUGCGACUCUUACUCUUUAGCUCCAAGUCCUCGACUUCUUCUCCCCUUCUUCUUCAAAUCUUCACCCUCUACUCGUCAAAGCGCUUUUUCUAAUGAACUGCGAUUUCGUCCAGGUUGAUUGAGCUUUGGUGUGUAGGUUGGGAUGUGAUUUCAGCAGGGUGACGGUGCCAGAAGGGAGAGGCCUUUCAAUGAAUGAGCGCUCCCUUUUAUAGAGUUCAAUACGAGGUUCAAUCCGCUCCUCCUUCAUGAGCUGGCAAAUCUUUGGAUGAAUCAAUCCGUUAGCCAAAAGAAUCUCGUCCAGAUUUGGUGGUCCUCCCUUUUGACGUGGACCCCAAAAUGAAGGUAUU